This 2923-nucleotide ribosomal RNA is filed under the name Klebsiella pneumoniae. RNAcentral's name for it is "23S ribosomal RNA". It matches the Rfam family "Bacterial large subunit ribosomal RNA". Lineage: Bacteria; Pseudomonadati; Pseudomonadota; Gammaproteobacteria; Enterobacterales; Enterobacteriaceae. The record is from RNAcentral.
GGGUUGUGAGGUUAAGCGACUAAGCGUACACGGUGGAUGCCCUGGCAGUCAGAGGCGAUGAAGGACGUGCUAAUCUGCGAAAAGCGUCGGUAAGGUGAUAUGAACCGUUAUAACCGGCGAUGUCCGAAUGGGGAAACCCAGUGCAAUUCGUUGCACUAUCGUUAACUGAAUACAUAGGUUAACGAGGCGAACCGGGGGAACUGAAACAUCUAAGUACCCCGAGGAAAAGAAAUCAACCGAGAUUCCCCCAGUAGCGGCGAGCGAACGGGGAGCAGCCCAGAGUCUGAAUCAGCUUGUGUGUUAGUGGAACGGUCUGGAAAGUCCGACGGUACAGGGUGAUAGUCCCGUACACCAAAAUGCACAGGCUGUGAACUCGAAGAGUAGGGCGGGACACGUGGUAUCCUGUCUGAAUAUGGGGGGACCAUCCUCCAAGGCUAAAUACUCCUGACUGACCGAUAGUGAACCAGUACCGUGAGGGAAAGGCGAAAAGAACCCCGGCGAGGGGAGUGAAAAAGAACCUGAAACCGUGUACGUACAAGCAGUGGGAGCACCUUCGGGUGUGACUGCGUACCUUUUGUAUAAUGGGUCAGCGACUUAUAUUCUGUAGCAAGGUUAACCGUAUAGGGGAGCCGCAGGGAAACCGAGUCUUAACUGGGCGUUAAGUUGCAGGGUAUAGACCCGAAACCCGGUGAUCUAGCCAUGGGCAGGUUGAAGGUUGGGUAACACUAACUGGAGGACCGAACCGACUAAUGUUGAAAAAUUAGCGGAUGACUUGUGGCUGGGGGUGAAAGGCCAAUCAAACCGGGAGAUAGCUGGUUCUCCCCGAAAGCUAUUUAGGUAGCGCCUCGUGAACUCAUCUUCGGGGGUAGAGCACUGUUUCGGCUAGGGGGUCAUCCCGACUUACCAACCCGAUGCAAACUACGAAUACCGAAGAAUGUUAUCACGGGAGACACACGGCGGGUGCUAACGUCCGUCGUGAAGAGGGAAACAACCCAGACCGCCAGCUAAGGUCCCAAAGUCAUGGUUAAGUGGGAAACGAUGUGGGAAGGCACAGACAGCCAGGAUGUUGGCUUAGAAGCAGCCAUCAUUUAAAGAAAGCGUAAUAGCUCACUGGUCGAGUCGGCCUGCGCGGAAGAUGUAACGGGGCUAAACCAUGCACCGAAGCUGCGGCAGCGACACUAUGUGUUGUUGGGUAGGGGAGCGUUCUGUAAGCCUGCGAAGGUGUGCUGUGAGGCAUGCUGGAGGUAUCAGAAGUGCGAAUGCUGACAUAAGUAACGAUAAAGCGGGUGAAAAGCCCGCUCGCCGGAAGACCAAGGGUUCCUGUCCAACGUUAAUCGGGGCAGGGUGAGUCGACCCCUAAGGCGAGGCCGAAAGGCGUAGUCGAUGGGAAACAGGUUAAUAUUCCUGUACUUGGUGUUACUGCGAAGGGGGGACGGAGAAGGCUAUGUUAGCCGGGCGACGGUUGUCCCGGUUUAAGCAUGUAGGCUGGUUGUCCAGGCAAAUCCGGAUAAUCAAGGCUGAGGUGUGAUGACGAGGCACUACGGUGCUGAAGUAACAAAUGCCCUGCUUCCAGGAAAAGCCUCUAAGCAUCAGGUAACAUUAAAUCGUACCCCAAACCGACACAGGUGGUCAGGUAGAGAAUACCAAGGCGCUUGAGAGAACUCGGGUGAAGGAACUAGGCAAAAUGGUGCCGUAACUUCGGGAGAAGGCACGCUGAUAUGUAGGUGAAGCCCCUGCGGGUGGAGCUGAAAUCAGUCGAAGAUACCAGCUGGCUGCAACUGUUUAUUAAAAACACAGCACUGUGCAAACACGAAAGUGGACGUAUACGGUGUGACGCCUGCCCGGUGCCGGAAGGUUAAUUGAUGGGGUUAUCCGUAAGGAGAAGCUCUUGAUCGAAGCCCCGGUAAACGGCGGCCGUAACUAUAACGGUCCUAAGGUAGCGAAAUUCCUUGUCGGGUAAGUUCCGACCUGCACGAAUGGCGUAAUGAUGGCCAGGCUGUCUCCACCCGAGACUCAGUGAAAUUGAACUCGCUGUGAAGAUGCAGUGUACCCGCGGCAAGACGGAAAGACCCCGUGAACCUUUACUAUAGCUUGACACUGAACAUUGAGCCUUGAUGUGUAGGAUAGGUGGGAGGCUUUGAAGCGUGGACGCCAGUCUGCGUGGAGCCAACCUUGAAAUACCACCCUUUAAUGUUUGAUGUUCUAACGUUGGCCCCUUACCGGGGUUGCGGACAGUGUCUGGUGGGUAGUUUGACUGGGGCGGUCUCCUCCCAAAGCGUAACGGAGGAGCACGAAGGUUAGCUAAUCCUGGUCGGACAUCAGGAGGUUAGUGCAAUGGCAUAAGCUAGCUUGACUGCGAGCGUGACGGCGCGAGCAGGUGCGAAAGCAGGUCAUAGUGAUCCGGUGGUUCUGAAUGGAAGGGCCAUCGCUCAACGGAUAAAAGGUACUCCGGGGAUAACAGGCUGAUACCGCCCAAGAGUUCAUAUCGACGGCGGUGUUUGGCACCUCGAUGUCGGCUCAUCACAUCCUGGGGCUGAAGUAGGUCCCAAGGGUAUGGCUGUUCGCCAUUUAAAGUGGUACGCGAGCUGGGUUUAGAACGUCGUGAGACAGUUCGGUCCCUAUCUGCCGUGGGCGCUGGAGAAUUGAGGGGGGCUGCUCCUAGUACGAGAGGACCGGAGUGGACGCAUCACUGGUGUUCGGGUUGUCAUGCCAAUGGCACUGCCCGGUAGCUAAAUUCGGAAGAGAUAAGUGCUGAAAGCAUCUAAGCACGAAACUUGCCCCGAGAUGAGUUCUCCCUGAGACUUUAAGUCUCCUGAAGGAACGUUGAAGACGACGACGUUGAUAGGCCGGGUGUGUAAGCGCAGCGAUGCGUUGAGCUAACCGGUACUAAUGAACCGUGAGGCUUAACCUUACAACGCCGAAG